This 305-nucleotide ribosomal RNA is filed under the name uncultured bacterium. RNAcentral's name for it is "bacterial SSU rRNA". It matches the Rfam family "Bacterial small subunit ribosomal RNA", at positions 334 to 655 of the family's 1533-position model. The record is from RNAcentral.
UUAGCCUACGGGAGGCAGCAGUGGGGAAUAUUGCACAAUGGGGGGAACCCUGAUGCAGCGACGCCGCGUGGGUGAAGGAGUAUUUCGGUAUGUAAAGCCCUAUCAGCAGGGAAGAACAAUGACGGUACCUGACUAAGAAGCACCGGCUAAAUACGUGCCAGCAGCCGCGGUAAUACGUAUGGUGCAAGCGUUAUCCGGAUUUACUGGGUGUAAAGGGAGCGCAGGCGGCGCGUUAAGCCUGGUGUGAAAGCCCGCGGCCCAACCGCGGGACUGCAUUUGGAACUGUGUGGCUGGAGUGUCGGAGG